GACGAACGCUGGCGGCGUGCUUAACACAUGCAAGUCGAACGGAAAGGCCCUGCUUUUGUGGGGUGCUCGAGUGGCGAACGGGUGAGUAACACGUGAGUAACCUGCUCUUGACUUUGGGAUAACUUCAGGAAACUGGGGCUAAUACCGGAUAGGAGCUCCUGCUGCAUGGUGGGGGUUGGAAAGUUUCGGCGGUUGGGGAUGGACUCGCGGCUUAUCAGCUUGUUGGUGGGGUAGUGGCUUACCAAGGCUUUGACGGGUAGCCGGCCUGAGAGGGUGACCGGCCACAUUGGGACUGAGAUACGGCCCAGACUCCUGCGGGAGGCAGCAGUGGGGAAUAUUGCACAAUGGGCGGAAGCCUGAUGCAGCAACGCCGCGUGCGGGAUGACGGCCUUCGGGUUGUAAACCGCUUUCGCCUGUGACGAAGCGUGAGUGACGGUAAUGGGUAAAGAAGCACCGGCUAACUACGUG
This 468-nucleotide ribosomal RNA is filed under the name uncultured bacterium. Its description in RNAcentral is "partial 16S ribosomal RNA". It matches the Rfam family "Bacterial small subunit ribosomal RNA", at positions 28 to 507 of the family's 1533-position model. The record is from RNAcentral.